Molecule: transfer RNA, 71 nt
Filed under: Marmota monax (woodchuck)
Lineage: Eukaryota; Metazoa; Chordata; Mammalia; Rodentia; Sciuridae
Description: tRNA.Thr
Rfam family: tRNA
About the family: Transfer RNA (tRNA) molecules are approximately 80 nucleotides in length. Their secondary structure includes four short double-helical elements and three loops (D, anti-codon, and T loops). Further hydrogen bonds mediate the characteristic L-shaped molecular structure. tRNAs have two regions of fundamental functional importance: the anti-codon, which is responsible for specific mRNA codon recognition, and the 3' end, to which the tRNAs corresponding amino acid is attached (by aminoacyl-tRNA synthetases). tRNAs cope with the degeneracy of the genetic code in two manners: having more than one tRNA (with a specific anti-codon) for a particular amino acid; and 'wobble' base-pairing, i.e. permitting non-standard base-pairing at the 3rd anti-codon position.
Source: RNAcentral
GGGGUUGUGGCUCAGUGGUACAGCGCUCGCCUUGUGUGUGAGAGACCUUGGGUUUGAUCCUCAGCACCACA